RNAcentral lists this ribosomal RNA (492 nucleotides) under uncultured bacterium. RNAcentral describes it as "partial 16S ribosomal RNA". It matches the Rfam family "Bacterial small subunit ribosomal RNA", at positions 29 to 507 of the family's 1533-position model. The record is from RNAcentral.
AGUGAACGCUGGCGGUAGGCCUAACACAUGCAAGUCGAACGGCAGCACAGUAAGAGCUUGCUCUUACGGGUGGCGAGUGGCGGACGGGUGAGGAAUACAUCGGAAUCUACUUUUUCGUGGGGGAUAACGUAGGGAAACUUACGCUAAUACCGCAUACGACCUACGGGUGAAAGCAGGGGAUCUUCGGACCUUGCGCGAUUGAAUGAGCCGAUGUCGGAUUAGCUAGUUGGCGGGGUAAAGGCCCACCAAGGUGACGAUCCGUAGCUGGUCUGAGAGGAUGAUCAGCCACACUGGAACUGAGACACGGUCCAGACUCCUACGGGAGGCAGCAGUGGGGAAUAUUGGACAAAGGGCGCAAGCCUGAUCCAGCCAUACCGCGUGGGUGAAGAAGGCCUUCGGGUUGUAAAGCCCUUUUGGUGGGAAAGAAAAGCAGCAGGUUAAUACCCCGCUGUUCUGACGGUACCAAAAGAAUAAGCACCGGCUAACUUCGUG